CGCGCAGGCGGCCGAGUCAGUCGAAUGUGAAAGCCCCCGGCUCAACUGGGGAAGGUCGUUCGAUACUGCUCGGCUCGAAGAUAGGAGAGGGAAGCGGAAUUUCAGGUGUAGUGGUGAAAUGCGUAGAUAUCUGAAGGAACACCAGUGGCGAAGGCGGCUUUCUGGCCUAUUCUUGACGCUGAGGCGCGAAAGCUAGGGGAGCGAACG
This 207-nucleotide ribosomal RNA is filed under the name uncultured bacterium. RNAcentral describes it as "partial 16S ribosomal RNA". It matches the Rfam family "Bacterial small subunit ribosomal RNA", at positions 568 to 774 of the family's 1533-position model. The record is from RNAcentral.